GACACAGUCUGUAAUGAAGCAGAGAGGAAGUCAGUGUAGAGUCUGAGGCAGGGCACACAGAGCACAACCUGUGCAAACUGGCCGUCCUUCACUGUGCCAGUGUAAGGGCCCUGGUCCUCAGCUGCACAGGGGUACAUCCCAUGGUCUGUAAAACCAGUAUCUGCGCCAUAGAUGGGGGGACCAUAGGCUCAGGGCAAGCUUGGGCUCGUAACAAGACACUGCAGCAGUGCUUUUGAAUCCCAGUGACACAUGUCCCAACAGAGUGUAUUUAUAAUCCUCGGAGCUGUUUCCGAGGACACCUGCACAGAUCCUUUCACUGCAUGUGCCAGCCCUGGAAACAUCCUCCCUGGGGACAGCCACCUUACCCUGUGUUCCAGGAUCGGGUUCAAAGGCAUUGGGAAAAUCCUCGAAACCACAGGCGGGUUUCAUUAUUGGGCACGUGUGUAAUUUUUCUGAGAGUGUCCUAGGCUCAAAGACCAACCUGGAAAAACAACUUAGUCUCUCCAGUUCUCGUCUAAUGGUGAUGACACAGGCCCCAUCCCGGAAGAAGUCUUCUGCAUUCCCUGGGCACCCUGUCUUGCUUGGCCAGGGCAGGAUGUUUGGUGAGGUUUCAGGGUUCUCACCACCAAACAUAUAACAAGCAGUGCCCGGCCACUAAUUAUAGUUCUGCUUAAGUGACGCUUACUAGAUGGAGAAUAUUAAUGGCUUUUGCAAACUCCAUCUUGCUCAACAGUGGGAGUCAUUGCUCAAGUCACCAUCAGUUAGCAUUCUUUCGAUCACUAUGACAAAGAGUGUGUGUGUGUGUGUGUGUGUGUGUGUGUGUGUGUGUGUGUGUGAGAGAGAGAGAGAGAGAGAGAGAGAGAGAGAGAGAAGGGUCCCCUGCUACUGUCCUACCCUUCCAAGUAAAACUGCUAAAAAUAGGAAAGGUUAAAGGUGAGUUUGUAUCAAGUCAAAACCAUACAAAAAGCCUCCCCAAUCCCCUCUGUAGAGAGGGAGGAAAUAAUUCCUCACAGGAAGUUAGAUGUACCCGUAAGUGCUACUGCUUAAGACCAUAGUACUAAAAACAAACAGACAGACAAGAGGGAAAUGCCCUCUUACCACGUGGGUGGGGACCCGAGAGCUUAACAAGUUCAAAAAGUUUGAAAAUGGAUAUAGAUCUGAAAGAUUAAAUAUCUAAGGGGUCAGGGAGGAGCCUCUAAGAUUUCCAAUCUGAGCAACAAAACCCCAGAGCAAGCCCGUGGGAGCUCCUGGAGGCAGCCCCUCAAUCCAGAAGGAAUAAUAAACCCCAACAAGGACUGUGAGCUCAGAGGAGAGCCCAGUCCCUGGUAGUAUGGGGUUGAGGUAAUUACAGAAUCUUGUCUCCUCCUCCACCUCCUCCUCUACUGGCUGUGAGCACGUAGUGGGUCACUGUCUCCUUCAAGAACAGAAGAAAGGAAUCUUAAGGCAUUGCUUCUGGACCUUUCUAAACCUUAGGCCCCUGCCACCCUCAGUCUCCAGCUUCCUUAGAAGGGACCAGUGCUAAUCUGAGUACAAGGCCACUGGGGAGGCUCCUCCUUCCAUUGGCAGGGCAUGUGUCUGGGUUUAAAACACAUACUGGGCGCUUAUGAAACACUGGGUCUGUGUGACUGUGUCCACAAACAGACGCAACACACAGGAUGCAGAGGGAGGUUUCUCAGAACUGGACGGGCGCAGGUUGCAUGACUUCAUUCAGUAGCCAUCCAGGUAAUUAAAUAACAGACUGAGGAGGGCAGAGCCCUCCCCAGGGCAUGAAGGAAAGUCAAGAGUUCCCACCUACAACCCAGCAUCUCGGCUGCUUCUGAGCCCAGAGACUCAGCUGACAGGGAGAGCCUCGGCCUGUGCCUCUGAUGCUGGGAUUGAAGCGCGUACCUCCAUGCCCAGUUCCCAUGGUACUGGAGGCUGAACCCAGAGGUUCCGUGUGUGGUGGUCAAGCAGUCUACCAACUGAGUUACAGACGGACAACCAGCCUUCCCAUGAACUCUACAGCUCCUAAUCUUACAGCAGAUAUACAGGGUAGGUAAAAAUGCCAUUUUACAGUUACUUGAGGCUCAGAUGGGAUUGAACAAGGUACCCAUGUCAGAGGCAGUGAGAGGGGGGAGCUGGGACUGAACCCCAACUCUGACUGCUCAGCAGGAAUGGCAGGUCCUAGCUGAGUGACUGUCUGUACAGCUCAGGAUGAGGAAACAAGGGCUGCCUCUGUUUUCCUCCUUCCUGAAACAUGUGCUCGGUGUGGAGCCUGGCUGGCCCGGAACUCACUGUGUAGCUCAGGCUGUCUCUGAAUUUACAGCUGGGAUUAUGGGUGUGUGCCAGGCUCACCUAUCCAGUCUGUCAGCAAAAACAGGAAGAAAAUACUUUUUUCUUGUCUUUCCACUUGCACCCUUCCCCUUUGCCACACACAGGGCAGCCUUUCGGAGGUUAGGAACCAACAUCUGAGAGAGAAGAGUUCUCGGUGAGUUCCUAGCUUCUCAGCCAAUAGGGGCUUGGGCAGCUUUGAUGGCCCCUAAACAAAAAACUGGGAGCAAUGUCUAUGUCUCGGGGUGACGGGUAAGACAUAAGAGAUAACCAAUGCACUGUUAGCGUGCAUAUUAUCCAGCUGCUGCUAUGUUCAUUCAGGUGAAGAAUGAAUAAGUAAGUAGGAUACAGCAUCCCUCCUGGGGAAGAAGGACACAGGGCAGAUACUGGAGUUCAGUAACCCCCACAGGUCUGGUCUUGGCCUGAGGGCAGACUCCUCCCUGGGCCUGCCUGGUCCAGUUCAACCUAGUCUAGCCCAAGCUCCCCACUGCUUAGAAACUGGAAAAAUGGUUUCCUUCUUGGAAAAGAAGACAGAGACUCAAGUCCAAGACUCGGCUCUGCCUUUGAUCAGCUACAGCCCCAGCAGACACCCACCACCAUGGCCCCACGGCCACACCUUCAAAGAAGCAGACUGGACACUCCUUUGAGUGCCUGGAAAAUGCUGAUACACCAGCCUGGGACACCUUCCAACUUCCCCCUGCCGCUUGGCCCAUCACACUUGUGAAAUUCUAUUUCUUUCCUUUUCUGAGUCUUCUGUUUAACUCGAGAGGAAGACACCGAAGACUGUCAGAAAACCCGGAGGAUAUGACAGCUUCGCCUGGGCCUCUCUCGAUGUCCGGGGUUCCCCAUGGUGAGGGCUGAAGGCAUAUCACAGCAUCCCACCGUCAGUGGGCCAGAGGUCUACAGAGCUCUCACAACCUGCUACCACUCUUCCAGUUUCUGAGAAAGGGGCAAAACACAGCCCAAAUUAAAAACAAACAAAACAACCAACCAAACAGGCCUCCAGCUUAGAUGGAUGCUGUGGCCGCAGGCUCAUCCCUCAAGCUGGUUUUCCAUGAAAGAAAACAAACAGAACCCAUGACCCUAGCAUUGGCCAGGGUAAGAAACUUCCAAUGGCCAAGGAUCCCAUAGAAACAAGGCCACCUAUUUAGAACUCUGUCCAGGGGCUGAGCUCUACCCAUGGCAGGGGGCUGACGGUUUCAGCCACAUCUAGAAGGCUCUUUAGUAGGUAUGCUCUUAGUUUUGGGGGGGGAAAGUCUGAAAACCUCCUUCCAAGUCAGGUGUCUCAGCUAACGGGAAAGGAAUCAGACAGACUUGAAGAACAGCCAUAAGCCCAGGGCGGCCUUGAACCAGCAGCUGGAGUCUUUGUAAACUGGCCUUACACUGACAGUCAUCCCACUAACUGAUAACCAAUAAGGGUCUGAGUCUGGUUUCUGCCAGGCCUGGGCGCUCACCAGCUUUCCCCCAUCGUUCUGCAGGUGUCCAUUCUCCUAACGGUCAGUGAGUUGUACAAAGUAGUCUAUUGUAGAGUAAAAACCAAAAGACCUCAUAUGCUUACAGAGACAUCCAGGCCUCUAGUAUCUCCACUUCCUCUGGUACCAGAGAAUCCUAGAGGAGACAGCCAGGUAUGGUGGCCCAAGUCUACAACCCCAGCCUUCGGGAGGAGGAUCUAUGAAGCAAGCCUAUCCCUAGCCCCCCACCCCUACACAAAUAAAAUUGAGAAUGGGGCUGGAGGGAUGGCAGCUAAGAGCAAUUGUUCUUGCAGGGGACCUGGACCUGGGUUGGAUUCCCGGUAUCAUGUGGUGACUCACAACCCUCUCUAACUCCGGAUUCUAACCUCUGCAGGCAGGCACGAGAUGCACGUACAUACACACAGGCGAAAUACUCAUACACGUAAAAUAAUCUUAAAAAACCAAACACCAGGGGCUGGGGAUUUAGCUCAGUGGUAGAGCGCUUACCUAGGAAGCGCAAGGCCCUGGGUUCGGUCCCCAGCUCCGAAAAAAAAGAACCAAAAAAAAAAAAAAACCAAA
Molecule: non-coding RNA, 4340 nt
Organism: Rattus norvegicus (Norway rat)
Lineage: Eukaryota; Metazoa; Chordata; Mammalia; Rodentia; Muridae
Source: RefSeq, a predicted model, not a curated record